UGGGCUUAAAUUGCAAUUGACGGAGGCCGAAACGUCUCUUUCUUCGGACAAUUGUGAAGGUGCUGCAUGGUUGUCGUCAGCUCGUGCCGUGAGGUGUCGGCUUAAGUGCCAUAACGAGCGCAACCCUCAUUAUUAGUUACUAACAGGUUAAGCUGAGGACUCUAAUAAGACUGCCGUCGUAAGAUGUGAGGAAGGUGGGGAUGACGUCAAAUCAGCACGGCCCUUACGUCCAGGGCCACACACGUGUUACAAUGGGUGAAACAGAGGGCAGCUACCUAGCGAUAGGAUGCUAAUCCCAUAAAAUCACUCUCAGUUCGGAUUGAAGUCUGCAACUCGACUUCAUGAAGCUGGAUUCGCUAGUAAUCGCGCAUCAGCCACGGCGCGGUGAAUACGUUCCCGGGCC
RNAcentral lists this ribosomal RNA (403 nucleotides) under uncultured bacterium. RNAcentral describes it as "bacterial SSU rRNA". It matches the Rfam family "Bacterial small subunit ribosomal RNA", at positions 976 to 1380 of the family's 1533-position model. The record is from RNAcentral.